Molecule: long non-coding RNA, 645 nt
Filed under: Struthio camelus australis
Lineage: Eukaryota; Metazoa; Chordata; Aves; Struthioniformes; Struthionidae
Description: lncRNA (ENSSCUG00000008967.1)
Source: RNAcentral
AUCAUCGUGGUUUCAGGCAGGAUUUUAGUAAUACCUUAGUCUGCUUUAUAAGAGCCUGAAUGUAAUUAAUAAUUUACCAUUGAAUUUCUCACUACAGUGCUCACUGUGCUCCAUGGCAAAUGCUGUACUAUUUACACAGUCCCCAACAAGAGACUGGAGGACCGAGGACAUGGCGUUUAAGCAGAUUAGCAGUUGUCGUAAUGGUCAUUUACAGCUGAGAGUAAAUUAAGAAAUGGCUGAAGUUGUUCUAUAUUCAGGUGCAGUUCUCGUAUUCUGAGGUUCUCCUGCCAGACACAGAGGUGACUGUAGCAGUAAAAUUCAGUUCUUUCGCAGCCACGCAUUGCCUGUUCCACACUUAAGAGUUCACAUAAACACCUUAAUAUUCUGAAGAGACAUGAGAAAGAUACCGUCUUUUUCCUGCAGAGCUGUGCAAAAGAUAUUGAAGAGUUGUGGACCUGGGAAACAAGUGAUAUUUGUAGUCAGAGAACAAAAUGGCCAACUGAAGAACAUAAACAAAGAGUUUAAUUGUAGAAAAAGGAGCUGGAAGAGAAUCAAGAGGUCAUUGCCCGUUCACAAGACAGGAUCAGUGGUACCGCCAUGUGUUGUCAGAAGCUGGGAAGAAGCUUGCAGGUUGGCCAAAUCUUU